This is a long non-coding RNA of Melopsittacus undulatus (budgerigar), 833 nucleotides long. RefSeq lists it as uncharacterized. The record is from RefSeq and is a predicted model, not a curated record. Lineage: Eukaryota; Metazoa; Chordata; Aves; Psittaciformes; Psittaculidae. The transcript has 2 exons.
AUCUGACAUGUGGACUUCCACUUUCCCCUUCAAUUGCAUCCUGACUUUUUGGGAUUUUGUCUUGCUUAAAGCUACUUACAAAGGUAAAAAAGCCAAAAGAAUCACAACACUGUUAAGGUGGACUGUGAUUCUACUGUACUUUGACCAUCCAGCCAUUUGUGUAGUUACUCUAGGUAUGUACAGCAUGCAGAUGCCACACUUAAAAGCCAUUCUAAUCUUCUGUCAUUUAAAUGUGAAUGUAAGUAGGAAUCUUUCUUCCAGUGUCAUAUGCAAAACAAUAGUGUUUCUUUUCAGUUUACAUGACAACAGACAGUUUUUGGUAUAAACUUCUGGCUGUGCUGAAAACUGACACCAGCUUCAAGCUUUGUAUGUCAUUUUAAAAUCAGAAUUUGAUUACGGAUGAUUUGGUUUCAUGAAAGUGGUUGUUGUGCAUCUCUCAAAGUUGAACCAUGGUAUAUUUGAUUACACUAUCCAUAAUUGUUUCAAGACUUACCUAAGGAAAAGUUUGCACAGAGAAUUUCCAAAGCUGACUUUCACUGGACUAUUGUAUACAGUAAAAUUUCCUAGUGCUACUGUCCUCACAGGUCAGCAUCACCCAUUCUAAGUAUUCAUUUCUUUGAAGUCUUAAUGCACAGAGACAUCUGAUGUGUCUUAGUACAGCAGGAGUUUCUUCAAGCUUGCAAUGAGACAGCUGUGAUCGCCCAGUACUGGAGAAGAGAGUUUACAGCAGGUGGAUCUCUGAUGAAGCGUGCCAACAAGUCCCCCUACCAGUGGCUGAGCAUACUCUGUGUUGCAAGUCCCAGCAAAACAAAAUAAAAAUACACUUAAAGGAA